This 250-nucleotide ribosomal RNA is filed under the name uncultured prokaryote. RNAcentral describes it as "partial 16S ribosomal RNA". It matches the Rfam family "Bacterial small subunit ribosomal RNA", at positions 524 to 773 of the family's 1533-position model. The record is from RNAcentral.
UACGUAGGUGGCAAGCGUUGUCCGGAUUUACUGGGCGUAAAGGGAGCGUAGGCGGACUUUUAAGUGGGAUGUGAAAUACCCGGGCUUAACCUGGGUGCUGCAUUCCAAACUGGGAGUCUAGAGUGCAGGAGGGGAAAGUGGAAUUCCUAGUGUAGCGGUGAAAUGCGUAGAGAUUAGGAAGAACACCGGUGGCGAAGGCGACUUUCUGGACUGUAACUGACGCUGAGGCUCGAAAGCGUGGGGAGCGAAC